GACGAACGCUGGCGGCGUGCCUAAUACAUGCAAGUCGAACGCUGAAGAGAGGAGCUUGCUCUUCUUGGAUGAGUUGCGAACGGGUGAGUAACGCGUAGGUAACCUGCCUUGUAGCGGGGGAUAACUAUUGGAAACGAUAGCUAAUACCGCAUAACAAUGGAUGACACAUGUCAUUUAUUUGAAAGGGGCAAUUGCUCCACUACAAGAUGGACCUGCGUUGUAUUAGCUAGUAGGUGAGGUAAUGGCUCACCUAGGCGACGAUACAUAGCCGACCUGAGAGGGUGAUCGGCCACACUGGGACUGAGACACGGCCCAGACUCCUACGGGAGGCAGCAGUAGGGAAUCUUCGGCAAUGGGGGCAACCCUGACCGAGCAACGCCGCGUGAGUGAAGAAGGUUUUCGGAUCGUAAAGCUCUGUUGUAAGUCAAGAACGGGUGUGAGAGUGGAAAGUUCACACUGUGACGGUAGCUUACCAGAAAGAGACGGCUAACUACGUG
Molecule: ribosomal RNA, 497 nt
Filed under: uncultured bacterium
Lineage: Bacteria
Description: partial 16S ribosomal RNA
Rfam family: Bacterial small subunit ribosomal RNA
Source: RNAcentral